Molecule: transfer RNA, 112 nt
Filed under: Arabidopsis thaliana (thale cress)
Lineage: Eukaryota; Viridiplantae; Streptophyta; Magnoliopsida; Brassicales; Brassicaceae
Description: ATSL120660
Source: RNAcentral
AAAACAAAAAUAAAAAAGAUUAUCCGACCUGCCGGAAUCGAACCAGCGACCUAAAGAUUACAGCAACUACUACAGUCUUCCGCUCUACCAACUGAGCUAAGGUCGGAUUGAU